GACGAACGCUGGCGGCGUGCUUAACACAUGCAAGUCGAACGGAAAGGCCCUGCUUUUGUGGGGUGCUCGAGUGGCGAACGGGUGAGUAACACGUGAGUAACCUGCCCUUGACUUUGGGAUAACUUCAGGAAACUGGGGCUAAUACCGGAUAGGAGCUCCUGCUGCAUGGUGGGGGUUGGAAAGUUUCGGCGGUUGGGGAUGGACUCGCGGCUUAUCAGCUUGUUGGUGGGGUAGUGGCUUACCAAGGCUUUGACGGGUAGCCGGCCUGAGAGGGUGACCGGCCACAUUGGGCCUGAGAUACGGCCCAGACUCCUACGGGAGGCAGCAGUGGGGAAUAUUGCACAAUGGGCGGAAGCCUGAUGCAGCAACGCCGCGUGCGGGAUGACGGCCUUCGGGUUGUAAACCGCUUUCGCCUGUGACGAAGCGUGAGUGACGGUAAUGUGUAAAGAAGCACCGGCUAACUACGUG
Molecule: ribosomal RNA, 468 nt
Filed under: uncultured bacterium
Lineage: Bacteria
Description: partial 16S ribosomal RNA
Rfam family: Bacterial small subunit ribosomal RNA
Source: RNAcentral